UGUGGGUGCAACUCCUCCUA
Molecule: non-coding RNA, 20 nt
Filed under: Arabidopsis thaliana (thale cress)
Lineage: Eukaryota; Viridiplantae; Streptophyta; Magnoliopsida; Brassicales; Brassicaceae
Source: RNAcentral